Molecule: ribosomal RNA, 61 nt
Filed under: Aggregatibacter actinomycetemcomitans
Lineage: Bacteria; Pseudomonadati; Pseudomonadota; Gammaproteobacteria; Pasteurellales; Pasteurellaceae
Description: 23S ribosomal RNA
Source: RNAcentral
GAAACGAAGAGAAGCAAGUUGGUCNAGCGCCAAACACGUUGAGACGGAAGGCAUGACGGGA